CCUACGGGAGGCAGCAGUGAGGAAUAUUGGUCAAUGGGCGCUAGCCUGAACCAGCCAAGCCGCGUGAAGGAUGACUGCUCUAUGGGUUGUAAACUUCUUUUAUAUGGGAAUAAAGUGCAGUACGUAUAUUGCUCUGCAUGUACCUUAUGAAUAAGGAUCGGCUAACUCCGUGCCAGCAGCCGCGGUAAUACGGAGGAUCCGAGCGUUAUCCGGAUUUAUUGGGUUUAAAGGGUGCGUAGGCGGGGGGUUAAGUCAGUUGUGAAAGUUGGAGGCUCAACCGUAAAAUUGCAGUUGAUACUGGCAGCCUUGAGUACAGUAGAGGUAGGCGGAAUUCGUGGUGUAGCGGUGAAAUGCUUAGAGAUCACGAAGAAUUCCGAUUGCGAAGGCAGCCUGCUGGGCUGUAACUGACGCUGAUGCACGAAAGUGUGGGUAUCAAACAGGAUUAGAUACCCCUGUAGUC
RNAcentral lists this ribosomal RNA (460 nucleotides) under uncultured bacterium. Its description in RNAcentral is "partial 16S ribosomal RNA". It matches the Rfam family "Bacterial small subunit ribosomal RNA", at positions 338 to 795 of the family's 1533-position model. The record is from RNAcentral.